UACGAAGGGGGCUAGCGUUGCUCGGAAUCACUGGGCGUAAAGCGCACGUAGGCGGCUUUCUAAGUCAGGGGUGAAAUCCUGGAGCUCAACUCCAGAACUGCCUUUGAUACUGGGGAGCUAGAGUCCGGAAGAGGUGAGUGGAACUGCGAGUGUAGAGGUGAAAUUCGUAGAUAUUCGCAAGAACACCAGUGGCGAAGGCGGCUCACUGGUCCGGUACUGACGCUGAGGAGCGAAAGCGUGGGGAGCGAACAGG
This 253-nucleotide ribosomal RNA is filed under the name uncultured bacterium. RNAcentral describes it as "partial 16S ribosomal RNA". It matches the Rfam family "Bacterial small subunit ribosomal RNA", at positions 524 to 776 of the family's 1533-position model. The record is from RNAcentral.